ACCUGGUUGAUCCUGCCAGUUGGCAUAUGCUCGUCUCUAAGAUUAAGCCAUGCAUGUCUGAGUUCAUACCUAGUUAACGUGAGACUGCGAAAGGCUCAGUAUAUCAGUUAUAGUUUAUUCGAUUGUGAAAUCCACAUGGAUAACCGUGGAAAAUCUAGAGCUAAUACAUGCGAAAAAUAGCUCGGGGUGCUUGCAUCUCGAGUGAUGCAUUUAUUAGAUUAAGCCAGUCAGCGAAGUUUUGGGCAACCAGGGCUUUGUUGCAGUGGUGAGUCUGGAUAACUGUGCCGAUCGUAUGGCCUUGAGCCGGCGACGUUUCGAUUAAAUUUCUGCCCUAUCAACUUGUUGGUAAGGUAGUGGCUUACCAAGGUGAUAACGGGUAACGGGGAAUCAGGGUUCGAUUCCGGAGAGGGAGCCUGAGAAACGGCUACCACAUCCAAGGAUGGCAGCAGGCGCGCAAAUUACCCAAUCCAGACACUGGGAGGUGGUGACGAGAAAUACCAGGUCGUUCCCAAAAGGAUUCGACACUGGAAUGAGUGCAAUUUAAAAAUUUCAAUGAGUAACAACUGGAGGGCAAGUCUGGUGCCAGCAGCCGCGGUAAUUCCAGCUCCAGUAGUGUAUCCAAACGUUGCUGCGGUUAAAACGCUCGUAGUUGGACAAGAGAGUAGCUUGGUGCGGGCGGGGAGUGUUAUUACUUUAUGUGAGCACUUGAGCGAUGGAUGCAGUUCUGCUUCGGUGGGGCUGUCUUUUGUUGCACAAGAAAGCUGCAUUUAUGUAUCGCUUGUCGACCAUGCUGCCAGGCUACUUGUAAUGUUUCGUGAGAAUGACACAUGAUCUUUACUGUAUUGUGUGUUGUGUCUUACGUAGUGUGCCUUGAAUAAAUCAGAGUGCUCAAAGCAAGCUUUUGCUUGAAUGUUAAUAGCAUGGAACGAAUGUUUAGUGGAAGUGAGUUGUGUUGUCUCAUUCGUGGGGCAGCAUGGCUCACAGCACCAACCACGAAGCGGAGCAUUGGUUGCCGACUUCGGGUGAGGAUUAAGAGGGGCAUUUGGGGGCAUUAGUAUUUGGCCGCGAGAGGUGAAAUUCUUGGACCGGCCAAGGACUAACAAGUGCGAAAGCAUUUGCCAAGUAUGUUCCCUUUAAUCAAGAACGAAAGUGAGAGGUUCGAAGACGAUCAGAUACCGUCCUAGUUCUCACAGUAAACGAUGCCAACCCGGGAUCAGUUCGGAUGCACACAAUUUGAUCCAGGUUGGUCCCCCUGGGAAACCUUGAGUUUUUAGGUUCCGGGGGGAGUAUGGUUGCAAGGCUGAAACUUAAAGGAAUUGACGGAAGGGCACCACCAGGGGUGGAGCCUGCGGCUUAAUUUGACUCAACACGGGAAAACUCACCUGGUCCGGACAUCGAUAGGAUUGACAGGCUAAAGUUCUUUCAUGAUACGGUGGAUGGUGGUGCAUGGCCGUUCUUAGUUCGUGGAGCGAUCUGUCAGGUUUAUUCCGGUAACGAACGAGACCACGUUCUUCAUUUGGGGAACUAGAGGACAAGUAAUAACGGUCGUAGUUAAUAGAGUGUGUUGUGCUUCGGUAUGAUGCGCUCUGUUGGCUAUAAUUGGUGGUACUUGCAGCUCUGGUGUGCGUGCAGCAAUGUGCGUCCCUAUGGAGAGACAGCCGGAUUGUAAGCCGGAGGAAGCGUGGCAAUAACAGGUCUGUGAUGCCCUUCGAUGUUCAGGGCCGCACGCGCGCUACAAUGAUAACGACAGCGAGAGUCUGGACUGAAAAGUUCUGGGUAAUCUUGUGAAUCGUUAUCGUGAUGGGGAUUGAGCAUUGUAAUUGUUGCUCAUGAAAUAGGAAUCCCUUGUAUACGUGUCUCACUCAGGACACGUAGAAUGCGUCUCUGCCCUUUGUACACACCGCCCGUCGCUACUACCGAGUGAAUGGUGUCAUGAUGUCUUGGGACUGGAUUUUGUUGGCAGUGAAAGCUGCGGACGAUGCUAGGAGCAAGACAAAAUGGCGCAAUUUCGAGGAAGUAAAAGUCGUAACAAGGUUUCCGUAGGUGAACCUGCGGAAG
This 2058-nucleotide ribosomal RNA is filed under the name Aurantiactinomyxon sp. AUM-14. RNAcentral describes it as "SSU rRNA". It matches the Rfam family "Eukaryotic small subunit ribosomal RNA". The record is from RNAcentral. Lineage: Eukaryota; Metazoa; Cnidaria; Myxozoa.